CAUUACACAACGAAAAUAUGAAGGCUUUGGCUUCGCGGCCGGCUGAAAUAUUUUUUUCACCCAUGUCUUUUGCGCACUUGUUGUUUCCUGGGCGGGUUCGCCCGCCACCAGGACCAAACCAUAAACCUUUUUUUUAAUGCAGUUGCAAUCAGCGUCAGUAAAAAAUAAUGUAAUUAUUACAACUUUCAACAACGGAUCUCUUGGUUCUGGCAUCGAUGAAGAACGCAGCGAAAUGCGAUACGUAGUGUGAAUUGCAGAAUUCAGUGAAUCAUCGAAUCUUUGAACGCACAUUGCGCCCUUUGGUAUUCCAAAGGGCAUGCCUGUUCGAGCGUCAUUUGUACCUUCAAGCUUUGCUUGGUGUUGGGCGUUUUUUGUCUCCCUCUUGCUGGGAGACUCGCCUUAAAACGAUUGGCAGCCGGCCUACUGGUUUCGGAGCGCAGCACAUAUUUUGCACUCUGUGUCAGGAGAAAAGGACGGUAAUCCAUCAAGACUCUACAAAUUUUAACUUUUGACCUCGGAUCAGGUAGGGAUACCCGCUGAACUUAAGCAUAUCAAUAAGCGGAGGAAAAGAAACC
RNAcentral lists this small RNA (575 nucleotides) under Bipolaris setariae. RNAcentral describes it as "eukaryotic LSU rRNA". The stretch from base 181 to 334 matches the Rfam family "5.8S ribosomal RNA". Lineage: Eukaryota; Fungi; Ascomycota; Dothideomycetes; Pleosporales; Pleosporaceae. The record is from RNAcentral.